GACGAACGCUGGCGGCGUGCUUAACACAUGCAAGUCGAACGGAAAGGCCCUUCGGGGUACUCGAGUGGCGAACGGGUGAGUAACACGUGGGUGAUCUGCCCUGCACUUUGGGAUAAGCCUGGGAAACUGGGUCUAAUACCGGAUAGGACCACGGCAUGCAUGUGCUGUGGUGGAAAGCUUUUGCGGUGUGGGAUGGGCCCGCGGCCUAUCAGCUUGUUGGUGAGGUUACGGCUCACCAAGGCGACGACGGGUAGCCGGCCUGAGAGGGUGUCCGGCCACACUGGGACUGAGAUACGGCCCAGACUCCUACGGGAGGCAGCAGUGGGGAAUAUUGCACAAUGGGCGCAAGCCUGAUGCAACGACGCCGCGUGAGGGAUGACGGCCUUCGGGUUGUAAACCUCUUUCGCCAGGGACGAAGCGCAAGUGACGGUACCUGAGAAGAAGC
RNAcentral lists this ribosomal RNA (445 nucleotides) under Gram-positive bacterium 1-3. Its description in RNAcentral is "bacterial SSU rRNA". It matches the Rfam family "Bacterial small subunit ribosomal RNA", at positions 28 to 491 of the family's 1533-position model. The record is from RNAcentral.